GCCUGGAUAGCGCAGUUGGUUAGAGUGUGAUGCUGUUAAUGCCAGGGUUCUAGGUUUGAUCCCUGUAUGGGACA
Non-coding RNA from Podarcis lilfordi (Lilford's wall lizard), 74 nucleotides. NCBI's taxonomy places the organism in Eukaryota, Metazoa, Chordata, Lepidosauria, Squamata, Lacertidae. The record is from the annotation of a GenBank genome assembly.